UUUUACUACAAGUUUUACAGUAUAUUAAAUAUUUAAAAAUUAAAGAAGAUAAAAAUUUUUUGAUACAUCUGGAAUAAACAUGUGUAUAUAUUAUACACAUCGAUAUAUAUUAUUAUGAACUGGGAGUUUGCCAAUGUGUUAUUAAUUGUUAAAACUUGAAAAAUAAAAGUGGUAUGGUUUGAAUGGCAGAUGUGCGGAAAGCAAACGAUGCGAGGCUUUUUCUUCGGAAAGGACCAUUUCUCCGUCACUGUUGAUAAGAACGUUGAUUAUGCCUUCAUUGCAUCUCUCAUUGUCAUCCUUGUAGAAAUAGAAAAAGCUGGUUUUAUUACGAAAAUGACAACACAAAUGAUAAUAGGUUUUUAGGUAUCAAUUUUUAAAGCACUAUCAUAUCGUUGUAGUAAUUUAGGUUGUCAAUACAAUUUGGUGUAAUGCACUAGCAUCGUUUGCUUUUCGUACAUCUGCAUUCAAACCAUACCAAUUUUAUUUCAAGUUUUAACAAUUAAUAAAACAUUGGCAAACUCUCUGUUCAUAAUAAUAUAUAUCGAUGGGUAUAAUAUAGUAUAGAUAUGUUUAUUUUUGCUAAAUACAAACACAUGCCCUUAGCAUAUCUUCUAAGGACCACCUGUCAUCAAGCUCGCUUAACGUCUUCAAGUCAUACACCUCCACUACCACUUCUUGUUGCUAUGUUUUACCUAAGCUCAACUUCCAUUCCGCAACAAUUCGAACAAAUAAAUCCAAGCACUAAAGCACCAUCACCAUUACCCGAACCUUUGUCAAAGCUCUACUUCAUGUAGCUCUCCUCAUGCCAGCGAGAAUCAUGUCUUUGACCCCUUCAUCAACGCCAUUUCUUCUCUUGACAGUGGCAAUU
This 868-nucleotide long non-coding RNA is filed under the name Arabidopsis thaliana (thale cress). RNAcentral's name for it is "long non-coding RNA (ATHA_LNC000698)". Lineage: Eukaryota; Viridiplantae; Streptophyta; Magnoliopsida; Brassicales; Brassicaceae. The record is from RNAcentral.